Molecule: ribosomal RNA, 311 nt
Filed under: uncultured bacterium
Lineage: Bacteria
Description: bacterial SSU rRNA
Rfam family: Bacterial small subunit ribosomal RNA
Source: RNAcentral
GAUGAACGCUGGCGGCAUGCCUAAUACAUGCAAGUCGAACGGAGAAGGAAGGUGCUUGCAUCUUCCGGACCAGUGGCGAACGGGUGAGUAACACGUGAGUAACCUGCCUCUCAGAGUGGAAUAACGUUUGGAAACGAACGCUAAUACCGCAUAACGUGAGAAGAGGGCAUCCUCUUUUUACCAAAGAUUUAUCGCUGAGAGAUGGGCUCGCGGCCGAUUAGGUAGUUGGUGAGAUAACAGCCCACCAAGCCGACGAUCGGUAGCCGGACUGAGAGGUUGAUCGGCCACAUUGGGACUGAGACACGGCCCAG